GCCCCGGUGAUGAAAUUGGUAGACAUACGGGAUUUAAAAUCCCGGGACCACUAGGUCGUGCGGGUUCAAGUCCCGCCUGGGGCACCA
Molecule: transfer RNA, 87 nt
Filed under: Halobacteriovorax marinus
Lineage: Bacteria; Pseudomonadati; Bdellovibrionota; Bacteriovoracia; Bacteriovoracales; Halobacteriovoraceae
Also listed under: 1 other name
Description: tRNA-Leu
Rfam family: tRNA
About the family: Transfer RNA (tRNA) molecules are approximately 80 nucleotides in length. Their secondary structure includes four short double-helical elements and three loops (D, anti-codon, and T loops).
Source: RNAcentral